RNAcentral lists this ribosomal RNA (468 nucleotides) under uncultured bacterium. RNAcentral's name for it is "partial 16S ribosomal RNA". It matches the Rfam family "Bacterial small subunit ribosomal RNA", at positions 28 to 507 of the family's 1533-position model. The record is from RNAcentral.
GACGAACGCUGGCGGCGUGCUUAACACAUGCAAGUCGAACGGAAAGGCCCUGCUUUUGUGGGGUGCUCGAGUGGCGAACGGGUGAGUAACACGUGAGUAACCUGCCCUUGACUUUGGGAUAACUUCAGGAAACUGGGGCUAAUACCGGAUAGGAGCUCCUGCUGCAUGGUGGGGGUUGGAAAGUUUCGGCGGUUGGGGAUGGACUCGCGGCUUAUCAGCUUGUUGGUGGGGUAGUGGCUUACCAAGGCUUUGACGGGUAGCCGGCCUGUGAGGGUGACCGGCCACAUUGGGACUGAGAUACGGCCCAGACUCCUACGGUAGGCAGCAGUGGGGAAUAUUGCACAAUGGGCGGAAGCCUGAUGCAGCAACGCCGCGUGCGGGAUGACGGCCUUCGGGUUGUAAACCGCUUUCGCCUGUGACGAAGCGUGAGUGACGGUAAUGGGUAAAGAAGCACCGGCUAACUACGUG